CGCGUAGGCGGUCUGUUAAGUGUAGAGUGAAAUCUCUAGGGCUCAACCCAGAAACUGCUCUGCAUACUGGCAGACUUGAGUGAUGAAGAGGUUUGUGGAAUUCCUGGUGUAGCGGUGAAAUGCGUUGAUAUCAGGAGGAACACCCAUGGCGAAGGCAGCAAACUGGUCAUCAACUGACGCUGAGGCGCGAAAGCGUGGGUAGCAAAUA
RNAcentral lists this ribosomal RNA (208 nucleotides) under uncultured bacterium. RNAcentral's name for it is "partial 16S ribosomal RNA". It matches the Rfam family "Bacterial small subunit ribosomal RNA", at positions 568 to 774 of the family's 1533-position model. The record is from RNAcentral.